Molecule: long non-coding RNA, 998 nt
Organism: Equus quagga
Lineage: Eukaryota; Metazoa; Chordata; Mammalia; Perissodactyla; Equidae
Exons: 3
Source: RefSeq, a predicted model, not a curated record
GAAAGUAAAAAAUUUAAUACAUAAACUGAAGGAAAAACAAUGUUAAGUAAAUGUGUCAAGACGGAGUGGGAAUGACUGCUAUUCGUGAUGACCACUGUGGCAGACAGCUCACUGUUACAAAGGACAUUUCCUCUGCUUCCUGGCAUACAAAUAUAUUCUAUUCCCCAGUCUCUUUCUAGUUAUAUGUGACCACGUGACUGAAUGCUAGCCAACAGAUGUGAAGUCAUGUGUGCGAACUUCUAGGCCUGGCCCAUAAAAAUCUUCCCAUGUGUGAUCCACCAUGCUCUUUCCAUUUUGUAACCAUCCUGGAAUCUGUGUUAAGGUUGAAGAGCAAGAAGAUGGAAGGAACCAGGGUCUCUGAAUGACUGCUUGGAGUAGAGUUGCCUGCAGAUCACAUCUUUGAAAAUUUUAUUAGGUUUAAAGCGGGAACCAAAUCCAAGGAUAUAUUCUCUGCAGUCUUGAGAGCAAAUAAAGAUAGCAUUUGACUUUGAGGAAUCAGGCAUUGGGAGUCUGUACCACUACUAUUGUCUAUCAGGAAACAGUGAUCAUGAAAAGUGGUGUAUAUAGUGAGGAGGAAGCUAAAAACCCAUUAUUCUGCAGCUUGAACACAGAUUCCAAAUCCUUCUCAGACAUCAUUCCAGUCAGCCACUACCAAGAGACUGAAGUUGACACCCAAGAGGAAACCCAGUUCAUCUUGGUAUGAUGUUUAAGGAGCCAUGGACUAGGGUUUGGAGCUCAAGAAGACUAUUAGUCCUGACUUACUCUGUUUGCCCAAAUGCAUGGUACAGAGAGCCAGCUACUAUUUUAAAGGCAAAUAAUUUCUGGAAAAAGCAGCAAUACCAGAAGUGAAAAGUACUAUUUCCAUGAUAAAACUGACAGACUAAAAGUUAAAGCAGUGGCAAUUUAACAAUCAUUUAUUCAAUUUCAAUGUAAAAGUGGAUUAGCAGCCAGGCUAAAAUCAAAUGCAGAGCAAUACCUUAUCUUCUAAUUGUGAAAUA